UCUCAAAGAUUAAGCCAUGCAUGUGUAAGUAUAAAUAGUUAACUUUGAAACUGCGAAUGGCUCAUUAUAUCAGUUAUAGUUUAUUUGAUGAAGAAUACUAAUUGGAUAACCGUAGUAAUUCUAGAGCUAAUACAUGUAUAAAGUCUUGUAGACUGCAUUUAUUAGAAUGAAAACCAUAGGUUUCGGCCUAUUCGUGAGUAAUAAUAACUAAUCAUAUCGUAUGCUUAUGUAACGAUGUGUCUUUCAAGUUUCUGCCCUAUCAGCUUUCGAUGGUAGUGUAUUGGACUACCAUGGCAGU
This 298-nucleotide ribosomal RNA is filed under the name Blastocystis sp. RNAcentral describes it as "partial small subunit ribosomal RNA". It matches the Rfam family "Eukaryotic small subunit ribosomal RNA", at positions 35 to 353 of the family's 1831-position model. The record is from RNAcentral. Lineage: Eukaryota; Bigyra; Opalinata; Blastocystidae.